This 490-nucleotide ribosomal RNA is filed under the name [Bacillus] caldolyticus. RNAcentral describes it as "bacterial SSU rRNA". It matches the Rfam family "Bacterial small subunit ribosomal RNA", at positions 35 to 504 of the family's 1533-position model. The record is from RNAcentral. Lineage: Bacteria; Bacillati; Bacillota; Bacilli; Caryophanales; Anoxybacillaceae.
GCUGGCGGCGUGCCUAAUACAUGCAAGUCGAGCGGACCAAAUCGGAGCUUGCUCUGAUUUGGUCAGCGGCGGACGGGUGAGUAACACGUGGGCAACCUGCCCGCAAGACCGGGAUAACUCCGGGAAACCGGAGCUAAUACCGGAUAACACCGAAGACCGCAUGGUCUUUGGUUGAAAGGCGGCCUUUGGCUGUCACUUGCGGAUGGGCCCGCGGCGCAUUAGCUAGUUGGUGAGGUAACGGCUCACCAAGGCGACGAUGCGUAGCCGGCCUGAGAGGGUGACCGGCCACACUGGGACUGAGACACGGCCCAGACUCCUACGGGAGGCAGCAGUAGGGAAUCUUCCGCAAUGGGCGAAAGCCUGACGGAGCGACGCCGCGUGAGCGAAGAAGGCCUUCGGGUCGUAAAGCUCUGUUGUGAGGGACGAAGGAGCGCCGUUCGAAGAGGGCGGCGCGGUGACGGUACCUCACGAGGAAGCCCCGGCUAACUAC